ACGAGUUGGAACGUGGAGGUUGAUGCUGGUGCAUAUAUUUAUUGUGUACAUGUGCUCGCCUUCACACUCUUCAUCCCACUCAACUCUUGUGCACUUUAUCAGAGUUAGUAAUAGUAAUAGUAUUGUGGCAGCCAUUUGUUGUUAUUCAUUGUUAGAAGCAGGUAAUCCUUUCUGACAGUAGUAAUAAUCUUGGUCUACUACUACUACUAUGAACAUUCUGACUUUUACUUAUACAAAUACUUUUCUUGUGAAUGUGAAUGUGUAAUGCUCCUCGUGAGCGAAAUACAAAUAUACAACUUUCAACAACGGAUCUCUUGGCUCUCGCAUCGAUGAAGAACGCAGCGAAAUGCGAUAAGUAAUGUGAAUUGCAGAAUUCAGUGAAUCAUCGAAUCUUUGAACGCACCUUGCGCCCCUUAGUAUUCUGAGGGGCAUGCCUGUUUGAGUGUCAUGAAAUUCUCAAUCCUCUUCUUCUUAAUUGAAGGAAGGGGCUUGGAUUUGGAGGUAUAUAUGCUGGUACUGUUUGUAUUGGCUCCUCUCAAAUACAUUAGCUGGACUGUAGUUCGCGUUGUUUGGUGUAAUAGCUUUCUAUCUAUAUUCACUGCAGUGCUUACUUAGACUGGUCUGCUUCCAAUAGUCCGCCUAUGUGUCGGACAAGGUAUACUGUUACCUUAAAUCAUUUUGACCCCUUUGACCUCA
RNAcentral lists this ribosomal RNA (696 nucleotides) under Fomitiporia pentaphylacis. RNAcentral describes it as "eukaryotic LSU rRNA". The stretch from base 295 to 448 matches the Rfam family "5.8S ribosomal RNA". The record is from RNAcentral. Lineage: Eukaryota; Fungi; Basidiomycota; Agaricomycetes; Hymenochaetales; Hymenochaetaceae.